CUGAUGGUGGAAAGGUUGAACUAGA
Molecule: non-coding RNA, 25 nt
Filed under: Cricetulus griseus (Chinese hamster)
Lineage: Eukaryota; Metazoa; Chordata; Mammalia; Rodentia; Cricetidae
Source: RNAcentral